Molecule: ribosomal RNA, 773 nt
Filed under: uncultured Streptococcus sp.
Lineage: Bacteria; Bacillati; Bacillota; Bacilli; Lactobacillales; Streptococcaceae
Description: bacterial SSU rRNA
Rfam family: Bacterial small subunit ribosomal RNA
Source: RNAcentral
GACGAACGCUGGCGGCGUGCCUAAUACAUGCAAGUAGAACGCACAGUUUAUACCGUAGCUUGCUACACCAUAGACUGUGAGUUGCGAACGGGUGAGUAACGCGUAGGUAACCUGCCUGGUAGCGGGGGAUAACUAUUGGAAACGAUAGCUAAUACCGCAUAAUAUUAAUUAUUGCAUGAUAAUUGAUUGAAAGGUGCAAAUGCAUCACUACCAGAUGGACCUGCGUUGUAUUAGCUAGUAGGUGAGGUAACGGCUCACCUAGGCGACGAUACAUAGCCGACCUGAGAGGGUGAUCGGCCACACUGGGACUGAGACACGGCCCAGACUCCUACGGGAGGCAGCAGUAGGGAAUCUUCGGCAAUGGACGAAAGUCUGACCGAGCAACGCCGCGUGAGUGAAGAAGGUUUUCGGAUCGUAAAGCUCUGUUGUAAGAGAAGAACGGGUGUGAGAGUGGAAAGUUCACACUGUGACGGUACCUUACCAGAAAGGGACGGCUAACUACGUGCCAGCAGCCGCGGUAAUACGUAGGUCCCGAGCGUUGUCCGGAUUUAUUGGGCGUAAAGCGAGCGCAGGCGGUUAGAUAAGUCUGAAGUUAAAGGCUGUGGCUUAACCAUAGUACGCUUUGGAAACUGUUUAACUUGAGUGCAGAAGGGGAGAGUGGAAUUCCAUGUGUAGCGGUGAAAUGCGUAGAUAUAUGGAGGAACACCGGUGGCGAAAGCGGCUCUCUGGUCUGUAACUGACGCUGAGGCUCGAAAGCGUGGGGAGCGAACAGG